RNAcentral lists this ribosomal RNA (449 nucleotides) under uncultured bacterium. Its description in RNAcentral is "bacterial SSU rRNA". It matches the Rfam family "Bacterial small subunit ribosomal RNA", at positions 29 to 521 of the family's 1533-position model. The record is from RNAcentral.
AACGAACGCUGGCGGCAGGCCUCAAACAUGCAAGUCUAGGGGGUGUAGCAAUACAUCACCGGCGGACGGGUGCGUAACGCGUGGGAAUAUACCUAUCGAUUCGGAACAACUGAGGGAAACUUCAGCUAAUACCGAAUACGUCCUAACGGAGAAAGAUUUAUCGUCGAUAGAUUAGCCCGCGUUCGAUUAGCUAGUUGGUGGGGUAACGGCCCACCAAGGCGACGAUCGAUAGCUGUUCUGAGAGGAAGAUCAGCCACACUGGGACUGAGACACGGCCCAGACUCCUACGGGAGGCAGCAGUUGGGAAUCUUGGACAAUGGGGGAAACCCUGAUCCAGCCAUGCCGCGUGAGUGAUGAAGGCCUUCGGGUUGUAAAACUCUUUCGCGCACGACGAUAAUGACGGUAGUGCGAGAAGAAGCUCCGGCUAACUUCGUGCCAGCAGCCGCGGU